Molecule: ribosomal RNA, 509 nt
Filed under: uncultured bacterium
Lineage: Bacteria
Description: partial 16S ribosomal RNA
Rfam family: Bacterial small subunit ribosomal RNA
Source: RNAcentral
UGGGGAAUUUUGGACAAUGGGCGAAAGCCUGAUCCAGCAAUGCCGCGUGUGUGAAGAAGGCCUUCGGGUUGUAAAGCACUUUUGUCCGGAAAGAAAUGGCUCUGGUUAAUACCUGGGGUUGAUGACGGUACCGGAAGAAUAAGGACCGGCUAACUACGUGCCAGCAGCCGCGGUAAUACGUAGGGUCCAAGCGUUAAUCGGAAUUACUGGGCGUAAAGCGUGCGCAGGCGGUUGUGCAAGACCGAUGUGAAAUCCCCGAGCUUAACUUGGGAAUUGCAUUGGUGACUGCACGGCUAGAGUGUGUCAGAGGGGGGUAGAAUUCCACGUGUAGCAGUGAAAUGCGUAGAGAUGUGGAGGAAUACCGAUGGCGAAGGCAGCCCCCUGGGAUAACACUGACGCUCAUGCACGAAAGCGUGGGGAGCAAACAGGAUUAGAUACCCUGGUAGUCCACGCCCUAAACGAUGUCAACUAGUUGUUGGGAUUCAUUCCUUAGUAACGUAGCUAACGCG